UCGGGAAUUUUGGGCAAUGGGCGAAAGCCUGACCCAGCAACGCCGCGUGAAGGAUGAAGUAUUUCGGUAUGUAAACUUCGUAAGAAUAGGAAGAAUAAAUGACGGUACUAUUUGUAAGGUCCGGCUAACUACGUGCCAGCAGCCGCGGUAAUACGUAGGGACCAAGCGUUGUUCGGAUUUACUGGGCGUAAAGGGCGCGUAGGCGGCGUGGUAAGUCAUCUGUGAAAUCUCCGAGCUUAACUCGGAACGGUCAGAUGAUACUGCUGUGCUAGAGUACAGAAAAGGGCAAUCGGAAUUCUUGGUGUAGCGGUGAAAUGCGUAGAUAUCAAGAGGAACACCUGAGGCGAAGGCGGGUUGCUAGGCUGACACUGACGCUGAGGUACGAAAGCUAGGGGAGCGAACGGGAUUAGAUACCCUAGUAGUCCCUGAGCGGGCUGGCAAGGCGCAU
RNAcentral lists this ribosomal RNA (448 nucleotides) under uncultured bacterium. RNAcentral's name for it is "bacterial SSU rRNA". It matches the Rfam family "Bacterial small subunit ribosomal RNA", at positions 355 to 825 of the family's 1533-position model. The record is from RNAcentral.